AGAUUAAACUGAAGAGUUUGAUCAUGGCUCAGAUUGAACGCUGGCGGCAGGCUUAACACAUGCAAGUCGAGCGGAAACGAUGGGAGCUUGCUCCCAGGCGUCGAGCGGCGGACGGGUGAGUAACGCGUAGGAAUCUACCCAGUAGAGGGGGAUAGCCCGAGGAAACUCGGAUUAAUACCGCAUACGCCCUAAGGGGGAAAGGCCGGGAUCUUCGGACCGGUCACUAUUGGAUGAGCCUGCGUUGGAUUAGCUUGUUGGUGGGGUAAAGGCCUACCAAGGCGACGAUCCAUAGCUGGUCUGAGAGGAUGAUCAGCCACACUGGGACUGAGACACGGCCCAGACUCCUACGGGAGGCAGCAGUGGGGAAUAUUG
Molecule: ribosomal RNA, 372 nt
Filed under: Gammaproteobacteria bacterium
Lineage: Bacteria; Pseudomonadati; Pseudomonadota; Gammaproteobacteria
Description: bacterial SSU rRNA
Rfam family: Bacterial small subunit ribosomal RNA
Source: RNAcentral